Molecule: ribosomal RNA, 253 nt
Filed under: uncultured bacterium
Lineage: Bacteria
Description: partial 16S ribosomal RNA
Rfam family: Bacterial small subunit ribosomal RNA
Source: RNAcentral
UACGGGGGGGGCAAGCGUUGUUCGGAAUUACUGGUCGUAAAGGGCGCGUAGGCGGUUGGAUAAGUCAGCUGUGAAAACCACGGGCUUAACUCGUGGCCUGCAGUUGAGACUGUCUGGCUUGAGUGUGGGAGAGGAGAGUGGAAUUCCUGGUGUAGCGGUGAAAUGCGUAGAUAUCAGGAGGAACACCGGUGGCGAAGGCGGCUCUCUGGACCACAACUGACGCUGAGGCGCGAAAGCUAGGGGAGCAAACAGG